UCCCCUACGGGGGGCAGCAGUAGGGAAUCUUCCACAAUGGACGAAAGUCUGAUGGAGCAACGCCGCGUGAGUGAAGAAGGGUUUCGGCUCGUAAAGCUCUGUUGGUAGUGAAGAAAGAUAGAGGGAGUAACUGGCCUUUAUUUUACGGUAAUUACUUAGAAAGUCACGGCUAACUACGUGCCAGCAGCCGCGGUAAUACGUAGGUGGCAAGCGUUUUCCGGAUUUAUUUGGCGUAAAGCGAGGGCAGGCGGGU
RNAcentral lists this ribosomal RNA (253 nucleotides) under uncultured bacterium. RNAcentral's name for it is "partial 16S ribosomal RNA". It matches the Rfam family "Bacterial small subunit ribosomal RNA", at positions 335 to 580 of the family's 1533-position model. The record is from RNAcentral.